CCAGACUCCUACGGGAGGCAGCAGUGGGGGAUAUUGCACAAUGGGGGGAACCCUGAUGCAGCGACGCCGCGUGGGUGAAGGAGUGCUUCGGCAUGUAAAGCCCUAUCGGCAGGGAAGAAGCAAGACGGUACCUGACUAAGAAGCCCCGGCUAACUACGUGCCAGCAGCCGCGGUAAUACGUAGGGGGCGAGCGUUAUCCGGAUUCACUGGGUGUAAAGGGAGCGUAGACGGCCAUGCAAGCCAGGGGUGAAAGCCCAGGGCCCAACCCCGGGACUGCUCUGGAAACUGCGGCGCUGGAGUACGGGAGGGGCAGGCGGAAUUCCGUGUGUAGCGGUGAAAUGCGUAGAUAUACGGAGGAACACCAGUGGCGAAGGCGGAUUGCUGGACAGUAACUGACGCUGAGGCGCGAAAGCGCGGGGAGCAAACAGGAUUAGAUACCCCCGUA
RNAcentral lists this ribosomal RNA (445 nucleotides) under uncultured bacterium. RNAcentral describes it as "partial 16S ribosomal RNA". It matches the Rfam family "Bacterial small subunit ribosomal RNA", at positions 331 to 792 of the family's 1533-position model. The record is from RNAcentral.